RNAcentral lists this ribosomal RNA (270 nucleotides) under uncultured archaeon. RNAcentral's name for it is "partial 16S ribosomal RNA". It matches the Rfam family "Archaeal small subunit ribosomal RNA", at positions 477 to 747 of the family's 1478-position model. The record is from RNAcentral.
CAGCACCUCAAGUGGUCAGGAUGAUUAUUGGGCCUAAAGCAUCCGUCGCCGGCGCUGUAAGUUUUCGGUUAAAUCUGUACGCUCAACGUACAGGCUGCCGGGAAUACUGCAGCGCUAGGGAGUGGGAGAGGUAGACGGUACUCGGUAGGAAGGGGUAAAAUCCUUUGAUCUAUUGAUGACCACCUGUGGCGAAGGCGGUCUACCAGAACACGUCCGACGGUGAGGGAUGAAAGCCAGGGGAGCAAACCGGAUUAGAUACCCGAGUAGUCC